AGUUUUGUGGUGUAAGUGGCACACCAGAUUGCAAACCUGGCGGUGUAGGUUAACCCCUGCCGGAACUU
This 68-nucleotide transfer RNA is filed under the name Gymnothorax monostigma. RNAcentral describes it as "tRNA-Cys". It matches the Rfam family "tRNA". From Rfam's summary of the family: Transfer RNA (tRNA) molecules are approximately 80 nucleotides in length. Their secondary structure includes four short double-helical elements and three loops (D, anti-codon, and T loops). The record is from RNAcentral. Lineage: Eukaryota; Metazoa; Chordata; Actinopteri; Anguilliformes; Muraenidae.